RNAcentral lists this ribosomal RNA (396 nucleotides) under uncultured Clostridium sp. RNAcentral describes it as "bacterial SSU rRNA". It matches the Rfam family "Bacterial small subunit ribosomal RNA", at positions 978 to 1382 of the family's 1533-position model. The record is from RNAcentral. Lineage: Bacteria; Bacillati; Bacillota; Clostridia; Eubacteriales; Clostridiaceae.
GACUUGACAUCUCCUGAAUACCGUAACUGGGAAGCUCUCGAGCAGGAAGACAGGUGGUGCAUGGUUGUCGUCAGCUCGUGUCGUGAGAUGUUGGGUUAAGUCCCGCAACGAGCGCAACCCUUAUCGUUAGUUGCUACCAUUAAGUUGAGCACUCUAGCGAGACUGCCCGGGUUAACCGGGAGGAAGGUGGGGAUGACGUCAAAUCAUCAUGCCCCUUAUGUCUAGGGCUACACACGUGCUACAAUGGUGAGGACAAAGAGACGCAAGACCGCGAGGUGGAGCAAAUCUCACAAACCUCAUCCCAGUUCGGAUUGCAGGCUGAAACUCGCCUGCAUGAAGCCGGAGUUGCUAGUAAUCGCGAAUCAGCAUGUCGCGGUGAAUACGUUCCCGGGCCUU